CCUGCAGACUGUCCACCCGAUCCGCACCUGUCCCCGCUGUAUUACAGCUUUGCCCAGGGAAACAGGCAAGCUGACUACAGCCGUUUGGGACUCCGCGUAGCCGCGUCGUAGGCUUCUCACCCUGACUCGUCCCUCCUCUAUCGCGAACUGGCUCGCGAUGGCGGUACAUAUCUCGCUCUCUGUCGCGAGGGAGUCGAGAUCGCGGAUUUCCAAGGCGACCACCUUCGAUUCCUCUGACAGCGCUCGCACUGCCGCUGCGUCGCCAAGUACGCGGGCGAUGCUCUCCUUCAUGGCCUCAGCGCUCUCUGAGCUGUCUUUUGCCACCUCCAACAGAAGAUUACCGUUGAAGGUGCGGCGUACCCUGGAAACGCAGCUUCCCAGGUCCGACAGCUGGUUGUCCUCCCUCCUGGUCACCAUGGCCAAUACCUCGCUGUACGUCUUGCCGCCAGCUUGCACUACGACCGCGUCGGGGCGUGCGCGGUGCGCUAUCCUCGUCUUCUUGGC
RNAcentral lists this long non-coding RNA (504 nucleotides) under Drosophila guanche. Lineage: Eukaryota; Metazoa; Arthropoda; Insecta; Diptera; Drosophilidae. The record is from RNAcentral.